This 253-nucleotide ribosomal RNA is filed under the name uncultured bacterium. RNAcentral's name for it is "partial 16S ribosomal RNA". It matches the Rfam family "Bacterial small subunit ribosomal RNA", at positions 524 to 776 of the family's 1533-position model. The record is from RNAcentral.
GACAGAGGGUGCAAACGUUGUUCGGAAUUACUGGGCGUAAAGCGCGUGUAGGCGGUGGCGCAAGUCGGAUGUGAAAGCCCUCGGCUCAACCGGGGAAGUGCACUCGAAACUGCGUCACUAGAGUCUCGGAGAGGAUAGUGGAAUUCUCGGUGUAGAGGUGAAAUUCGUAGAUAUCGAGAGGAACACCGGUGGCGAAGGCGGCUAUCUGGACGAUGACUGACGCUGAGACGCGAAAGCGUGGGGAGCAAACAGG